CAGGAGAUGAUGUAAAUUACCCAUUAUCAUACAUAGAGGAUGUUCUACAGCAACCUCAGAAAAGAUCUUGUGUCAGACGUGGAGGCAAUUGUGACCAUCGCCCAAACGAAUGCUGUUUCAAUUCAAGUUGUCGCUGUAACUUGUGGUUAGUAUUCAAU
Long non-coding RNA from Contarinia nasturtii (swede midge), 158 nucleotides. RefSeq lists it as uncharacterized. The record is from RefSeq and is a predicted model, not a curated record. NCBI's taxonomy places the organism in Eukaryota, Metazoa, Arthropoda, Insecta, Diptera, Cecidomyiidae. The transcript has 3 exons.